UUUAGUGAUUAAGAACACAGGCUUUGUUUUUCCCCAUCAGAUCGACCCUGUUGAUCUAACUAAACUAUUUGCCAGUUUUUGUCUGAUGCAUUGAA
This 95-nucleotide small nucleolar RNA is filed under the name Myotis brandtii (Brandt's bat). Its description in RNAcentral is "Small nucleolar SNORD12/SNORD106". It matches the Rfam family "Small nucleolar SNORD12/SNORD106". From Rfam's summary of the family: This family belong to the C/D class of snoRNA which contain the C (UGAUGA) and D (CUGA) box motifs. This family includes the human ortholog of mouse snoRNA HBII-99 and human snoRNA U106. In humans both HB11-99 and U106 snoRNAs share the same host gene. The record is from Rfam by way of RNAcentral. Lineage: Eukaryota; Metazoa; Chordata; Mammalia; Chiroptera; Vespertilionidae.